CCUAAUCCUUCUCUAGAUAUUGAGAAGACUUCUUGCUUUCUUAUUUUUUUCUCAACUUUUAAACAUUUGUAGCAGUAAUAUAUAAGCUUCUUAUGCAAGAUACACUAACUCCUUUGCAAAAAGAUGCCUACUCAUUCAUCAUUUACCUGCAAAUAGAUUUAAGCUGUUUGCUAACAUAAUAGUGGAGAAUAGAUAGGAAUAUAGUUAUUUAUAUUUAUAUAUACACACAUGCAGUGUAAUUUACAUUUCUUAAAAAUGUAAUUUUUAAAAGGAAAUCGUCAAUUUUUUUUAUUAAAAAAUUUAGAAAGAUAACACCAACUUGAACAACAUUUUCACAUUUUCCAAAAGGAUAUCAAAAAAAUCCAAAUUCUAUAUGUUCUUGACAAAAUAAAACAAUAAAGAAAUCUACAGAUUUCUCUUGAUGUGAUCAUAUACUGGAAAUAUUUUUAAGUGAGUCAAUAGUCACUAUCAUCGGCUAACUAUAUGUCACACUUGACAUAUAGUCAGUACAUCUCACCUUCACAUGCCAGAAAUCACGAGCUGGAAGUAUAUGGACUUGUAGGAAAAAAAGUAGUUUACAAUGGGCAGAAAAUGAAAGCUCGUGAAUAAUAUCAUAAUUUAGUGCUUUAAUGGAAUAGUAUGUGCUAAGACAAACUUCAGAGCUGUUUCUCGAUUCUUGCAUUGCAUUAGUUGACAGGUGUAAAAUAUUUAUUCAACUCUAUGUCAAACUUUUAAUUAUUAGUUCUACCGCAGAGCAGGAAAAUUAUCAUUCAAUAAAAAUCUAAACAAUAAAUUCCACUAGGACAAGAUUUUAAAGUAUGAUUUGGAAGCUUUUAUGUGCUACUUAGUUUGUAUGACAUCUUACUCUCUGCCCCUGAGUUGUCCGCACAUAGUCUAGACAUCACCUGAAGGUGAACAUGACCAGGUAGUAAUAUCGCAAACUCUGCAAUAAUCCCUAAUACUUUCCCAAUCACUGUUUGUAAUGUCACUCUUCUCACCAUGAGGCUAUACCUCCACCACCCACUGUGGACCUUUUGGCAUGCUACCACUAGUAAUGGCCUCUGACCAUCUCCCCAUUUCAUACUUUGAAAACUACAGCACCUCAGGGUCUGGUACUGCCAAACAGUGAGUUAAUUGUUAAAUGAGUUAAUUGUUUUCUACCCUUUCAAAAUGAUCAAGUGAGUUUCUAGUUCACUCACUCAACCACGUACAUGCUCCUCUGCGUUCUUUCACUGGUUUGGGGGUUUUUGUUUGUUUUGUUUUGUUUUUACACUGAACAUUAAAAAAAAUGUCUUUACUAGAAGAACUAGACUUUUCCUGCAAUCAACAUACCUUAAUUCAGCAAAAUUCUUUCAAAAUUUCCUUAAUUUCUAGAGCCUGUUACCAACAGACAGAAGGGAGGUUGGACUUGAGGGCCUCAAAGCACUCCUUCCAUCCUGAACUACUUUACACUUUCAGGUUCUUCUGUGUUUUCUCAUAUGGUGAUGUAACUAACUAUUUAUUCUCAUUUGAACUCUACUUAAACAUUCAGGUCUGACAUACUGAAAUAAUUGUUUACACAGCCAGCCAGUACUGAUUGCUUCCAUGACCCCCACUGUCUAUAAUUUCACAGAGACUACAAACUCUCUCAGGUUCUGUUUAUCAGCUCUGAGAUGUAAGAUUCUCACUGUCUUAAGAAAAUCCUUACUUUCUCUUAAACAGAAAAAUCAAAUCUGCAAUAUAAUAUCUAAUCAAUUUCUUAUAAAAAUUUAUUACAUUAGUAAAUGGAAAGUGAUUACUGUCUCUCCACUUCUUAAGUUAUAAAAAAAUUACUUCCACCAAGGAGAAUAAACUUUUUAUAUAGGCCCAUCACAAUCUGUUUCCAACAUAAGUACUUGAAGUUGGAAGUACAUAAAACUCUUACACAAUAAUGGAGGCACCAGCCAGCCAUUUCAACUUGCUUUUCACUGAAUUCCGUUUUAUAUUCAUUCAGUGAAAGUCUCGAUGUGCUUUGUAUUUUCAGGACCUCUGUAUUUUCAGUAUUUUCAGAACUCCUACGUAAAUACAUUUUGUUAUCAGUGGGAAGCAUUUCCUAAAACAUCAAUGCAAUUCAAGAAGUCCUGAUCGAGUCAAGGAAGUUUGCACUUCUUAAUUGCAUACAUGCUUUUCUACUUAAAACACUUAACAAUGUUGUGUAAAUUGGUUUUAUAUUCAAAUAAAUCUUUUU
RNAcentral lists this long non-coding RNA (2206 nucleotides) under Gallus gallus (chicken). RNAcentral's name for it is "lncRNA (ENSGALG00010004629.1)". Lineage: Eukaryota; Metazoa; Chordata; Aves; Galliformes; Phasianidae. The record is from RNAcentral.